AGAUUGAACGCUGGCGGCAGGCCUAACACAUGCAAGUCGAGCGGUAGAGAGGUGCUUGCACCUCUUGAGAGCGGCGGACGGGUGAGUAAUGCCUAGGAAUCUGCCUAGUGGUGGGGGAUAACGUUCGGAAACGGACGCUAAUACCGCAUACGUCCUACGGGAGAAAGCGGGGGACCUUCGGGCCUCGCGCCAUUAGAUGAGCCUAGGUCGGAUUAGCUA
Molecule: ribosomal RNA, 219 nt
Filed under: uncultured soil bacterium
Lineage: Bacteria
Description: partial 16S ribosomal RNA
Rfam family: Bacterial small subunit ribosomal RNA
Source: RNAcentral